This 340-nucleotide unclassified non-coding RNA is filed under the name soil metagenome. Its description in RNAcentral is "partial contains 5.8S ribosomal RNA, internal transcribed spacer 2, and large subunit ribosomal RNA". The stretch from base 1 to 120 matches the Rfam family "5.8S ribosomal RNA", at positions 35 to 154 of the family's 154-position model. The record is from RNAcentral.
GAUGAAGAACGUAGCGAAAUGCGAUAAGUAGUGUGAAUUGCAGAAUUCAGUGAAUCAUCGAAUCUUUGAACGCACAUUGCGCCCCUUGGUAUUCCAUGGGGCAUGCCUGUUCGAGCGUCAUUUGUACCUUCAAGCUCUGCUUGGUGUUGGGUGUUUGUCCCGCCUUUGUGCGUGGACUCGCCUUAAAGCAAUUGGCAGCCGGCCUACUGGUUUCGGAGCGCAGCACAAGUCGCACUCUCUAUCAGCAAAGGUCUAGCAUCCAUUAAGCCUUUUUUUCAACUUUUGACCUCGGAUCAGGUAGGGAUACCCGCUGAACUUAAGCAUAUCAAUAAGCGGAGGA